GUCUUGGUACUUAGUGCCUUAACAAUGAUGUAUGACUACUUAUCAAGAAUUUGUUUUCAUGUUUUGAUGACUCUGUUUUUGUUGUUGUGUGCCCUUGAGUCAAUUCCAACUCAGAGCAACCCUAUAUGACAAGAGUAACCUGCCCCAUAGGGUUUCCUAGGCUGUAAUCUUUAUGGGAGCAGAUCGCCAGGCUUUUCUCCUACAGAGCCGCUGAUGGGUUUGAACCACUGACCUUUCAGCUAGCAGCCCAAUGCUUAACCAUUGCCUGACCAGGGCUCCUUUUUUUUUUUAAAUAAUUUUUAUUGUGCUUUAAGUGAAAGUUUACAAAUCAAGUCAGUCUCUCACCUAUAAACUUAUAUACACCUUACUACAUACUCCAACUUAACUCUCCCCCUAAUUGGUCAGCCCGCUCCCCCCUUCCAGUCUCUCCUUUUGUGACCGUUUUGCCAGUUUCUAACCCCCUCUACCCUCCUAUCUCCCCUCCAGACAGGAGAUGCCAACAUAGUGUCAAGUGUCCACCUGAUGCAAGUAGCUCACUCCUCAUCAGCAUCUCUCUCCAACCCAUUGUCCAGUCCAAUCCAUGUCUGAUGAGUUGUCUUCGGGAAUGGUUCCUGUCCUGGGCCAACAGAAGGUUUGGGGACCAUGACCGCCAGGAUUCUUCUAGUCUUAGAUCAUUAAGUCUGGUCUUUUUAUGAGAAUUUGGGCUCUGCAUCCCACUGUUCUCCUGCUCCCUCAGGGGUUCUCUGUUGUGCUCCCGGUCAGGGCAGUCAUCGGUUGUGGCCGGGCACCAUCUAGUUCUUCUGGUCUCAGGAUGAUUAGUCUCUAGUUCAUGUGGCCCUUUCUGUCUCUUGGGCUCAUAAUUACCUUGUGACCUUGGUGUUCUUCAUUCUCCUUUGGUCCAGGUGGGUUGGGACUCAUUGAUGCAUCUUAGAUGGUCACUUGUUAGCGUUUAAGACCAUGACCAGGGCUCCUUUUGAUGAUCUAGUUCAAUAUAACUGAUUUCCUUUGUAACCCUAUGCAUUUGUAAACAUUUAAAAAUGCAAGGCAAAUGAAAUUCCCCAUUAUAUUAGUGAAGGGAGAUCCCGGAAUUACUGCCAUAUGCUUUACUGGUUUUGCUUCUCCAGAGAGCCCAGCCUAAGACACCCUUUAUAUAUUUCCUGAGUCCCUGGGUAGUUCAAAUAAUUAACACACUCAACUGUUAACUGAAAGGUUAGAGGUUCCAGACACCCAAAGGUGCCUCAGAAAAAAGACCUGGUUAUCUACUUCCAAAAAGUCAGCCAUUGAAAACCCUAGGGACCACAAUUCUACUUUCACACAUAUGGAGUCACCAUGAGUCAGAACAGACACCACGGCAAUUGGUUUUUUUGGGCUUAUUUUUUUCCUCUUUAGCUUUCUGUUUCGUCCCACCUAGAUUAUAAAUUACAAGACGGCAAGAACUUUUGUCUGUUUUUCACCUCUGUACCCAGUUUCUGGAAGAGUGCCUGGUGAAUAAGCAGAAUUUGAUAAGCAUUGGUUGAAUUCAUGAAUAGUGAAUUUGAGGAAAACAAGCAACAACAACAAAAAAAAACCCAAGGAGUAUAAGAAAAUCAGUUUAACCAUAUAGAUCCAGUCGGCUCAUGAUGCUUUGUUUAGUGUUACUUGAUUAGAAACAGGUGCCCCUUCUCUGGAAAAACUAAGGCACUCCUUCUGAAAUUACCAAUUUUAAAAAGCCUCCCUUCCUCUGAACAGACGGGGUCGGAAGCACUUGCACAAGGCACAACCAGUACAAUCACAGGUGAUAGCCCUGAAGUAAUCCCCUACUCCUGAUAAUGUAAGCAAUAUUACUUCAGUGCUCUGGAUAAUGUAAUUAUAAACUAGUAUAAUAUAAACCUUGAUACAAUGUAAAUUAGUAAUGUCAUCAAUUAACUAACUACUAAUAAUGUGAUCAUUAUUAAGUGUGGGAAAGGAAGUGCAUUUGGGGGGAGUGGUAUAUAAGAGACCUGAAACCUCUUCUUCCAUAGAAAGAAGUCAGUAGAUACUAAACAUACCUGAAAAAAAUCAAGAAAACAGCAGAAUAUGCCUAUCAUUUAGGAAUAUGAAGACAAUUAUCAGAAGAAACGCCUUAAAGAUGUGGAAAGUGGUUAUUCUGGGGACCAGGAGUCAGGGAUAGGGAGUACCAUAAAGGGAGUACUAUAACAGAGGUCUGCUGUUUUCCUUCUAAAACUUAGAAAACUAUUUGAUUUCAAACUAUGUAUGUUUAAAUUUGACUUUUUAAAUUCUCACUUGGUACCUACAUUCUUCGGAGUUCCUGGGCAAUUUAAAGCAUUAUUAGGAGCAUUCCAAAGUCAAUCCAAGUUUGGUGAUGGGCGCUGAGAAUGCACUCAGUGCAAAAAGUUAAUACCCGGUUGGUAUUUUCUGCAUGUAUAUUACACCAUACACAACUUAACCACACACACACACAGAAUACCAAACUCCUUGCUUUGGAGUAGAUUCCAACUUAUGGCGACCCCAUGUGUUACAGAGCAGAAUUCAGCUCCAUACAGUUUUCUCGGCCCUAAUCUUUACAGAAAUGGAUCACCAGGCCUUUCUUCUGCAGGGCUGCUGUGUGGGUUUGAACCACCAACCUUUCAGUUAGUGGCCAAGAGCAAACCAUUUGCACCAUCCUGGGACCUUAUAAACAAUUUGUUGUUGUUGUUAGGUGCCCUCCAGUCAGUUCUGACUCAUAGUGAUCCUAUGUACAAUGGAAUGAAACACUGCUCAUUCCUGCACCAUCUUCACAAUUGUUGCUAUGUUUUAGCUCAUUGUUGCAGCCACUGUGUCAAUUCACCUCCAUGAGGGUCUUCCUCUUUUUCACUGACCCUCUAUCUUACCAAGUAUGAUGUCCUUCUCCAGCAUGUGAUCCCUCCCAAUAACAGGCCCAAAGUACAUGAGACGAAGUCUCACCAUCCUUGCUUCCAAGGGGCACUCUGGCUGUACUUCUUCCAAGACAGCCUUGUUUAUUCUUCUAGCAGUCCACAGUAUAUUCAGUAUUUUUCACCAACACCAUAAUUCAAAGGCAUCUAUUCUUCUUCAGUCUUCCUUAUUCACUGUCCAGCUUAACCCUGACAAAAACCUCUCUGGUUUUGUAGCAAAGUAUUACAUAUGCACACAUCCAUACAUUCAUACUUCUCAGUGGACAUACAUACAUACUUUGUACCACAAACAUGUACAAAUUUUAUUGAAGCAGAUGAGGUGGUGGACCCACAACUGUGGAGCAGGACAGAUCUCAACAUUCAGAUAAUUCUAAUAUCCCCUCUGAUAUUUGAAGCCACAAAUUUGGGGCAACGUCCAUAGACAGACAUAUCCAAACACCUAAGGGAUCAAAUUACUGGGCUGAGGGCAGUGGGGCCAUAGUCUCGGGGAACAUUUAUCUCAAAUGGUAUAACAUAGUUUAUAAAGAAAAUGUUCUACAUCUUACUUGGGUGAGUAGCGUCUGGGGUCUUAAAAACUUGUGAACAGCCAUCUAAGAUAUUCUACUGGUAUCACCCCACCUGGAGCAAGGGAGAAUGAAGAAAACCAAAGACACAAAGGAAAGAUUAGUCCAAAGGACUAACGGACCACAACCACCACAGCCUCCACCAGACUGAGUCCAGCACAACCAGAUGGUACCUGGCUACCACCACUGACUGGUCCCAGAUAGAGCUGGAGAAAAAUGUUGAACAAAAUUCUAACUCACAAAAAAAAAGACUAGACUUACUGGCCUGACAGGGGCUGGAGAAAUCCCAGAGUAUGGACACCCUUUUAGCUCAGUAAUGAAGUCACUCCUGAGAUUCAUCCUGCAGUCAAAGCUUAGACAGGCCCAUAAAACAAAAUGAGACUAAAUGAGCACACCAGCCCAAAAGCAAGGACUAAAAGGCAAGAAGGGACAGGAAAGCUGGUAACAGGGAACCAAAGGUCCAGAAGGGAGAAUGUUGACAUGUUGUGGGGUUGGUAGCCAAGUCGCAAAACAAUAUUUACUAAUUGUUAAAUUAGAAGAUAGUUUGUUCUGUAAACCUUCAUAUAAAAGUACCAUCAUAAAAAAAAAAAGAAGAAGAAGAAGUUGAGGGGCACCAAAAUGUGACCGGCAGGUCAGGGUGACACAAAACGUUCGUCAUGCCCGCCAAGGACCACAAGCGAGCAAGGCCUCGGGCCGCGCCUCCCGACUGGGGCGGAGCUGGCCCCGCCGAGUCCCGCCCCACAGUCCGUGUCUGCCACUGGUGCAGUCAGAGCCUCUUCCUGCUGGGAAGAGGAAAGGAAUCCGGGAAAGAUAACUGCUGGCUGCCCUUCUCCGCAGCGCUCGAAGCCUCAUCAUGUUCGUCCUCCGAAGCGGCCUGACUAGGGCUCUGGCCCCGCGGCAGCUCGCGCCUCAGAUGUGUUCAUCUUUUGCUACGGGCCCUAGACAAUGUGAUGGAACAUUCUAUGAAUUUCGUACUUACUGCCUUAAACCUUCAAAGAUGAGUGAGUUCCUGGAAAAUGCUGAGAGAAACAUUCAUCUUCGAACACCUCACUCUGAACUGAUUGGAUUCUGGAGGACAGAAUUUGGAGGCAGAUUGAAUAAAGUGUUUCAUAUUUGGAAGUACGAUAAUUUUGCUCAUCGAACUGAAGUUCGGAAUGCCUUGGCCAAAAAUAAGGAAUGGCAAGAACAAUUCCUCAUCCCAAAUUUGCCUCUUAUGGAUACACAAGAUGGGGAGAUAAUUUACCUGAUGCCGUGGUGCAAAAUAGAAAAGCCUCCAAAAGAAGGAGUCUAUGAACUGGCUACUUUUCAGAUGAAACCUGGUGGACCAGCUCUGUGGGGUGAUGCAUUUCGAAGGGCAAUUCAUUCCCAUGUCAAUCUAAACUAUGCCAAACUGGUUGGAGUUUUCCACACAGAAUAUGGACUACUCAACAGAGUUCAUGUUCUUUGGUGGCAUGAGAGUCCGGAUAGUCGUGCAGCUGGAAGACAUCUGUCUCAUGAGGAUCCUAGGGUUGUGGCAGCUGUCCGGGAAAGUGCCAGCUACCUAGUAUCACAGCAGAAUAUGCUUCUGAUUCCUACAUCGUUCUCACCAUUGAAAUAAUCUGCUACUGAAAUGAGACGUUUCAACUACUGUAUCUGCUAGUGAUGCAUGAAUUCUCCCCAGAGAGUCUCAGAUUUGUUUGAAGGAAGUGGUUUCUAUAAUUGGAAUUUCAAGUUGGGAGGAUGCAGUUACGAUCCUGAUGCUGAGCAGUCAUCCCAAGGUGCUCGUGCACACAAGUUCAGAUUCAUGCCUACACAAAAGGACUGCUCACUACAUGUCAUGGCAUUCAGAAGAAGUCACAAGGAGAGCCAGGGCUCCAUUGUCUUGUCUUAAAGCACUGUCAUAACAGGAGUUCUUCAGGUACUGAGAAAAGCAGACAUCUUUUUCUGAAACUUUGACUCAUGAGUAACCAAAAAAAAAAAAAACCAAACGCAGUGCCGUCGAGUCGAUUCCAACUCAUAGCGACCCUGUAGGACAGAGUAGAACUGCCCAUACAGUUUCCAAAUUAGCUAUGAAAAAUGUCUGCAUGUCUCAUCAUCGCACUACAUAACAUUGUAUAUACACUGCACAACUUUUUACAGGAGAAAAGGUAUCUCUGAUGUUAGUCUCAGUAUCAUUUGUAUUUUUGUGCAUCCUCACCCCUAGCACCUUGCUAGUAUAUUUGGCAUACUGUGUCCUUGUAUUUUUGGUUGAAUAAACAAAAGAACACUGAAGGCUGCCUUUGUAGCCUCCUCGAUACCAAGUUAAGUUUUCAUUAAUUAAAUAAACUUAGCUACUGAGUAUUUUCAGUCUCUGCAGCUUCAAAAUCACCAGAGUAAGUUUAUCUAAAAACCUCUUAAAUUUGCUUAAUAACAGUUACUGAAUAUAGUAACUGAAUCAUGAAGGUGCAAAACGCCCUUUCUUUUUAUUUUCAAGGAGUCCCCUGAGUUCUCUUUUGUGAUUAAUAGGACAUUGAAGCCCUUUCUAAAAUUUUUACUUCUGAUCCAAAUAGCUUCCCCUCUACAAGCAGGUAUUUCCUAUUGUAAUAGCUUUAACACAUUUUAACAGUAGGUGGUGCUACGAAUGCACGAAAGUAAAUUUGUAUAGACAACAGAACUGACACUGCUUUAUUUUGUAACUCAUUACAACAUAGAAAUAUACCUUUUUAAUACUUCAUAUAAAGUUAUUGACAAUACAAAUAUUUUUUUUAUUUUUUUUCUUUUAAUGAAAAUGAUUUAACUUAGAAAUCUAUUGUGAAACUUCUGUCUAGUUUUGCAAUUUUUAGAUAUUCCAGUGCAAAAAUAGAUCCCAUUACAGACAGCAUAAAGUGCUUGGAAUGAAGGGCCAAUGAUAAAGGAAAAGCACAAAAACAGCUUCAUCCUAGGGUUUAAGAAGGGAGAAUAGCAUACGUAAUCCUUACUGAAAUAUAAAUAUUCUAUAAAAAGGGAUGCAACAAUUUGAAAAAAAUUAGAGCAUAUUAGUAUAGUACUAAUUUACCAGUAAAUGGAACCCUGAUGGCGCAAUGGUUAAGAGCUUGGCUGCUAACCAAAAAGGUCUGCAGCUCAAACCCACCAAUGGCUUCAUGGGAGAAACAACCUGACGAUCUGCUCCCAUAAGAUUACAGUCUAAGAAACCCUAUGGGGCAGUUCUACUGUGUCACAUGGGGUCGCUAUGAGUCGGAAUGGACUCAAUGGCACCUAAUAACUACAAUAUAUUAGCAGUAAGUAGUAACAGGGGUACAAAUUAAUAUCUCAAUAUCAAAGUGAUUCAGUAUUAUAUGACACAUGGCUCUUUGGAAAUUUUUACCUGAUACAUACAAUCAUAAGAAUAAAAUGUAGACAAAUUCCUUUAGUCAAUGAGUACAGUGAACAGAUGAUGUGUAACAUUUAAUAGUCAUAAAGCAUGUGCUUUCAGUACAGAUAUUGAAAUACAGUAGUUUGAGGUUUGGUUGGUUGUUUUUUAACAAUGAACUGUGCUGGGCAUUUAUUUAUAAAGGGUUGUUUUCUUUUUUUCAUAUUCACAGUUGUUAAUAAAG
Molecule: RNA transcript, 7005 nt
Organism: Loxodonta africana (African savanna elephant)
Lineage: Eukaryota; Metazoa; Chordata; Mammalia; Proboscidea; Elephantidae
Gene name: protein NipSnap homolog 3A-like
Exons: 7
Source: RefSeq, a predicted model, not a curated record